RNAcentral lists this ribosomal RNA (486 nucleotides) under uncultured bacterium. RNAcentral describes it as "partial 16S ribosomal RNA". It matches the Rfam family "Bacterial small subunit ribosomal RNA", at positions 28 to 507 of the family's 1533-position model. The record is from RNAcentral.
GAUGAACGCUAGCGGCAGGCUUAACACAUGCAAGUCGAGGGGCAGCGCGGGAUAGCAAUAUCCUGGCGGCGACCGGCGGAAGGGUGCGUAACGCGUGAGCGACAUGCCCGUUGCCCGGGGACAACCGGUGGAAACGCCGACUAAUCCCCGAUGGGAUAUUGUGCCGCAUGGCACGAUAUUGAAAGUUACGGCGGCGACGGAUUGGCUCGCGUCCGAUUAGCUUGUUGGCGGGGUAACGGCCCACCAAGGCUGCGAUCGGUAGGGGUUCUGAGAGGAAGGCCCCCCACAAUGGGACUGAGACACGGCCCAUACUCCUACGGGAGGCAGCAGUGAGGAAUAUUGGACAAUGGGCGGAAGCCUGAACCAGCCAUGCCGCGUGCGGGAAGGAGGCCCUAUGGGCUGCGAACCGCUUUUGCCUGGGGGCAAUAAGGGCGUCGCGCACGUCCGAUGAGAGUACCAGGCGAAUAAGCAUCGGCUAACUCCGUG